UACGUAGGGGGCAAGCGUUGUCCGGAAUCAUUGGGCGUAAAGAGCGUGUAGGCGGCCCGGUAAGUCCGUUGUGAAAGUCGAGGGCUCAACCCUCGAAUGCCGGCGGAUACUGCCGGGCUAGAAUCCGGAAGAGGCGAGUGGAAUUCCUGGUGUAGCGGUGAAAUGCGCAGAUAUCAGGAGGAACACCAAUGGCGAAGGCAGCUCGCUGGGACGGUAUUGACGCUGAGACGCGAAAGCGUGGGGAGCAAACAGG
This 253-nucleotide ribosomal RNA is filed under the name uncultured bacterium. RNAcentral's name for it is "partial 16S ribosomal RNA". It matches the Rfam family "Bacterial small subunit ribosomal RNA", at positions 524 to 776 of the family's 1533-position model. The record is from RNAcentral.